RNAcentral lists this ribosomal RNA (400 nucleotides) under Gongylomorphus bojerii (Bojer's skink). RNAcentral describes it as "partial 12S ribosomal RNA". It matches the Rfam family "Bacterial small subunit ribosomal RNA", at positions 794 to 1399 of the family's 1533-position model. Lineage: Eukaryota; Metazoa; Chordata; Lepidosauria; Squamata; Scincidae. The record is from RNAcentral.
GCCUAGCCCUAAACUUAGACAGUACAAACACAAUACUGUCCGCCAGAGAACUACAAGCGAAAAACUCAAAACUCUAAGGACUUGGCGGUGCUCCACAUCAACCUAGAGGAGCCUGUCCUAUAAUCGAUACCCCACGUUAAACCUUACCAUCUUUAGCCCCUCAACCUAUAUACCGCCGUCGUCAGCCUACCUUAUGAAAGAAGUACAGUAAGCAAAGCAGUCAAAAACUAACACGUCAGGUCAAGGUGUAGUACAUAAGAUGGAAGAGAUGGGCUACAUUUUCUAAACCAGAAUACACGAACGGGGUAAUGAAAUAAACCCCUAAAGGUGGAUUUAGCAGUAAGAUGUAUAAGAAACACCAUCUUAAAUUCGCCCUGGAGCGCGCACACACCGCCCGUCA